GGGGAUGUAGCUCAGUGGUAGCGUAUUCACCUAGCAUGCAUGAGGCCCUGGGUUCAAUUCCCAGCACCACCA
Molecule: transfer RNA, 72 nt
Filed under: Heterocephalus glaber (naked mole-rat)
Lineage: Eukaryota; Metazoa; Chordata; Mammalia; Rodentia; Bathyergidae
Rfam family: tRNA
About the family: Transfer RNA (tRNA) molecules are approximately 80 nucleotides in length. Their secondary structure includes four short double-helical elements and three loops (D, anti-codon, and T loops). Further hydrogen bonds mediate the characteristic L-shaped molecular structure. tRNAs have two regions of fundamental functional importance: the anti-codon, which is responsible for specific mRNA codon recognition, and the 3' end, to which the tRNAs corresponding amino acid is attached (by aminoacyl-tRNA synthetases). tRNAs cope with the degeneracy of the genetic code in two manners: having more than one tRNA (with a specific anti-codon) for a particular amino acid; and 'wobble' base-pairing, i.e. permitting non-standard base-pairing at the 3rd anti-codon position.
Source: Rfam by way of RNAcentral